GGGCCUCUAGCUCAAUGGUAGAGCAGUUGACUCUUAAUCAAUUGGUUCAGGGUUCGAUCCCCUGGGGGCCCACCA
Molecule: transfer RNA, 75 nt
Filed under: Chloroflexales bacterium ZM16-3
Lineage: Bacteria; Bacillati; Chloroflexota; Chloroflexia; Chloroflexales
Also listed under: 2 other names
Description: tRNA-Lys
Rfam family: tRNA
About the family: Transfer RNA (tRNA) molecules are approximately 80 nucleotides in length. Their secondary structure includes four short double-helical elements and three loops (D, anti-codon, and T loops).
Source: RNAcentral